Long non-coding RNA from Oreochromis niloticus (Nile tilapia), 457 nucleotides. RefSeq lists it as uncharacterized. NCBI's taxonomy places the organism in Eukaryota, Metazoa, Chordata, Actinopteri, Cichliformes, Cichlidae. The record is from RefSeq and is a predicted model, not a curated record. The transcript is spliced from 3 exons.
CUCAAACGCUGCAUUAGGCUCAACGUUUACUUUCACUUUCCUGAACUUCGUGGAGUGGAGCUUGUUGUUGGUGUGUGAAGAAACUACUGACUGAAGUCCACAAGAAGCUGAUGAUGAAGGAAGAGGAGGACAAAGCAGAGUCUGCAGGAUUCAGUUGUCCCUCUGUGAGGAGUGACAGGUCCAAAGAUAGCAAUCCAUACUUCAGUGCUGAACCUGGACCAACGAGAGUGGACCAGCAGAGCUCAGAGGUUCCCAGUGGUCAGUCUGCCCAGCAGCAUCAAACACAGCUGGACUCCAUAUUUAUGGUCUGUACAUGUACAACAACUACUGUUACAUCUGUUCUGUUCACAGUCAUCUCCAUGCUGCUCUUUGUAGACCAGUGGAUUGUCAGUGUGUCCAACAUGGAUCUGAUGUUUGGCUCCAUGAUUUCAGUCUGAUUGGCUCAUUCAUAAAGUAU